Ailuropoda melanoleuca (giant panda) is the source of this 103-nucleotide small nuclear RNA. NCBI's taxonomy places the organism in Eukaryota, Metazoa, Chordata, Mammalia, Carnivora, Ursidae. The record is from Ensembl.
GUGCUUGCUUCUGGCAGCACAUAAACUAAAAUCGGAACAACACAGGGAGAUUGGCAUAGUCCCUGUGCAAGGAUGACACGCAAGUGUUUAAUAAAAUAUUUUA